RNAcentral lists this ribosomal RNA (497 nucleotides) under uncultured bacterium. RNAcentral's name for it is "partial 16S ribosomal RNA". It matches the Rfam family "Bacterial small subunit ribosomal RNA", at positions 28 to 507 of the family's 1533-position model. The record is from RNAcentral.
GAUGAACGCUGGCGGCGUGCCUAAUACGUGCAAGUCGAGCGAACGGACGAGAAGCUUGCUUCUCUGAUGUUAGCGGCGGACGGGUGAGUAACACGUGGAUAACCUACCUAUAAGACUGGGAUAACUUCGGGAAACCGGAGCUAAUACCGGAUAAUAUUUUGAACCGCAUGGUUCAAAAGUGAAAGACGGUCUUGCUGUCACUUAUAGAUGGAUCCGCGCUGCUUUAGCUAGUUGGUAAGGUAACGGCUUACCAAGGCAACGAUGCAUAGCCGACCUGAGAGGGUGAUCGGCCACACUGGAACUGAGACACGGUCCAGACUCCUACGGGAGGCAGCAGUAGGGAAUCUUCCGCAAUGGGCGAAAGCCUGACGGAGCAACGCCGCGUGAGUGAUGAAGGUCUUCGGAUCGUAAAACUCUGUUAUUAGGGAAGAACAUAUGUGUAAGUAACUGUGCACAUCUUGACGGUACCUAAUCAGAAAGCCACGGCUAACUACGUG